Molecule: ribosomal RNA, 639 nt
Filed under: Triticum aestivum (bread wheat)
Lineage: Eukaryota; Viridiplantae; Streptophyta; Magnoliopsida; Poales; Poaceae
Description: partial small subunit ribosomal RNA
Source: RNAcentral
AUGGGUAAAAAAGAGAAAACCCCCUCAACAAUUUUCCCCUGUGCUGCCCAAGACCUUCCACUGUCCGGCGACCACAGACAGCCGCCACCGCACUCCCGCACUUGCCUGGCCGGCCGUGCGCGCCCCUGCUCGGCCGCCCGCGCGCGCCCCUGCGCCGCCGCGCUCACCUCCUGCCCGGUCGCCCGCGCUCCUGGCCUCUGCCCGGCCGCGCGCCCCCUCCAUGCUAGCCGCGCCACCGCCGCCCUGCUCUGCCCGCGCCCGCCGCUCUACAAGCCGCGCCACCGCCGCACUGCUCCACACAUGCCCCAUCUCCCUAGAUCGAUCUCGAGCUCGGGAGGACGGCAGCCGUUGCGGGAAUACGAGGGGGGUGCUGGAGCUCCGCCGCUGCUGCUUGCUCCGGUGCGAGUUCGGGAGGACGGCGGCCGUGGCGGGAAUACGAGGACGGUGCUGGAGCUCCGCUGUUGCUGCUUGCUCCGGUGCGAGCUCGGGAGGACGACGACCGUGGCGGGAAUACGACGGCGGCCGUGCGGGGGAAAGAGAGUGGAGGGAGGAAGGAGACGGGAAGAAGGGGAGGGAGCUGAUUGCUUUUUUCUAUUUGAUUUAGGGGUGUCUGUGCAAAAUAUAUGGACUAGUUUGUAA